Molecule: long non-coding RNA, 590 nt
Organism: Mytilus californianus (California mussel)
Lineage: Eukaryota; Metazoa; Mollusca; Bivalvia; Mytilida; Mytilidae
Exons: 8
Source: RefSeq, a predicted model, not a curated record
CAGCCUUAAUAUGUAACACUCCUAUACCAUGAAAGAUGCUUUCACACAUUAGGAUGUUGCACAUAUACAUCUAGAUAUGUUGCACUCCUAGACAGAGAAGAUGGAUUCAUGGCAGAUAGGAAGAGUCAACAUAUACAGCCCAGAUAUGUUCCACUCCUACCCAAUGAAUAUGGUUUCAUGGUAGAUGCACAUUAGGAUGUUUAACAUAUACAGCCUAAAUAUGUUACACUCCUAGACAAUGAAGAUGGUUUCAUGGUAGAUUGAUCACACAUCUGGAUAUGUAGCAUAUACAGACUAGAUAUGUUACCCUCCUAGACAAUGAAGAUGCUUUCAUGGUAUACAGCACACGAAGAUUUGUAUCAUAUAACGCCUAAAUAUGUUACACUCUUCGACAAUGAAAAUGGUUUCAUUGUAGAUAGCACAUUAGGAUAAGUCACAUAUACUGCCUAAAUAUGUAAGACUCCUAUACCAUGAAAGAUGCUUCCAUUGCAGAUAGCACAUUAGGAUUAGUCACAUAUACAGCCUAAAUAUGUAAGACUCCUAUACCAUGAAAGAUGCUUCCAUUGCAGAUAGCACAUUAGGAUAAGUCA